Molecule: ribosomal RNA, 700 nt
Filed under: Rossellomorea marisflavi
Lineage: Bacteria; Bacillati; Bacillota; Bacilli; Caryophanales; Bacillaceae
Description: bacterial SSU rRNA
Rfam family: Bacterial small subunit ribosomal RNA
Source: RNAcentral
CUUGCUCCCUGAGAUCAGCGGCGGACGGGUGAGUAACACGUGGGUAACCUGCCUGUAAGACUGGGAUAACUCCGGGAAACCGGGGCUAAUACCGGAUAACACCUACCCCCGCAUGGGGGAAGGUUGAAAGGUGGCUUCGGCUAUCACUUACAGAUGGACCCGCGGCGCAUUAGCUAGUUGGUGAGGUAACGGCUCACCAAGGCGACGAUGCGUAGCCGACCUGAGAGGGUGAUCGGCCACACUGGGACUGAGACACGGCCCAGACUCCUACGGGAGGCAGCAGUAGGGAAUCUUCCGCAAUGGACGAAAGUCUGACGGAGCAACGCCGCGUGAGUGAAGAAGGUUUUCGGAUCGUAAAACUCUGUUGUUAGGGAAGAACAAGUGCCGUUCGAAUAGGGCGGCACCUUGACGGUACCUAACCAGAAAGCCACGGCUAACUACGUGCCAGCAGCCGCGGUAAUACGUAGGUGGCAAGCGUUGUCCGGAAUUAUUGGGCGUAAAGCGCGCGCAGGUGGUUUCUUAAGUCUGAUGUGAAAGCCCACGGCUCAACCGUGGAGGGUCAUUGGAAACUGGGGAACUUGAGUGCAGAAGAGGAAAGUGGAAUUCCAAGUGUAGCGGUGAAAUGCGUAGAUAUUUGGAGGAACACCAGUGGCGAAGGCGACUUUCUGGUCUGUAACUGACACUGAGGCGCGAAAGCGUG